UUCACCUCAAUAAAUCCAUCUUCUUUUCUAUCGUGGUCUUCAUUCUUGGCUCUCCCUCUACUUAAUUUCUUACAGUGUCUUUUUAUCAGUUUAAAAGCUAUUUGAUUCAAAGUAAAUUUUCAUUAACGAUUAAACAUGUUUUUUCUUAUGUGAAACCUAUGGAUUAUGUUUCUUCUUAUGCAGGAUUGAGAGGAAACUAUGAUUUACUAAACCG
This 214-nucleotide long non-coding RNA is filed under the name Brassica napus (rape). RNAcentral describes it as "long non-coding RNA (BNAP_LNC004276)". Lineage: Eukaryota; Viridiplantae; Streptophyta; Magnoliopsida; Brassicales; Brassicaceae. The record is from RNAcentral.